This 466-nucleotide ribosomal RNA is filed under the name uncultured bacterium. RNAcentral describes it as "partial 16S ribosomal RNA". It matches the Rfam family "Bacterial small subunit ribosomal RNA", at positions 339 to 795 of the family's 1533-position model. The record is from RNAcentral.
CUACGGGACGCUGCAGUGAGGAAUUUUGCGCAAUGGGGGGAACCCUGACGCAGCAACGCCGCGUGAGUGAUGAAGGCCUUCGGGUCGUAAAGCUCUGUCAAGUGUGAAGAAACAGCAAAAUGUUAAUAUCAUUUUGCAUUUGACUGUAACACUAAAGGAAGCACCGGCUAACUCCGUGCCAGCAGCCGCGGUAAUACGGGGGGUGCAAGCGUUAUUUGGAAUCAUUGGGCGUAAAGGGCGCGUAGGUGGUACUAUAAGUCAGAUGUGAAAGCCCGGAGCUUAACUUUGGAAGAGCAUUUGAAACUAUAGGACUUGAGUAUGGGAGAGGGAAGUGGAAUUCCUGGUGUAGAGGUGAAAUUCGUAGAUAUCAGGAGGAACACCAGUGGCGAAGGCGGCUUCCUGGACCAAUACUGACGCUGAGGCGCGAAGGCGUGGGGAGCAAACAGGAUUAGAUACCCCUGUAGUC